AGCGCGGGGGGGGGGGCGUGGAGGGGGGUGACCGGGGAGGGGUGCCUGGAACGUAUUACCUCGCCUCACACCAGCCAGGCAACGACAACUGCUUCACUUAUCAUCCUACAGCGGCUUAGGGCGGAGGAAUAAAGAGCAGCAGGCCCAGGGACCUCUUCCUCCCACCCACCCCUUGAGGCAGCCGUGAUCUUCCCAUGCCCUUGGCAGGAGGGGCGAGAAAGUGUAAGUUACCCAGCAUGGAUCGGUUUUCACUCUCAGGGCCCGAGAACUACCAGGGAAGCCCCUUAGCGUGCAGAGAACUCACCUGGGAAGCGGCCCUGUGCAUAGGCCGGUCACACCCAGCAACCGACCUGUCAUUAGACCGAGACAGAAGCCAACUCGGUGCUGGUUAGUCUGUCACUUCAGUGUUGCAGCAGCAUCCCCACACAGCUCUGCCAGCGCACCUCACACCUGGCUUGCCAUACCUGUCCGAUUCCAGUCCCGAGCCUCCACGCGGCUUGGCCAGUGCCCCAAUCCUGAUGCACGGAGCCCGCGUUCCUCGCAUUCUAGGCCCCUCUUGAGCCAAGAUGGAGAGUGCCCAAUUCUGUACUGGUGACUAGGCUGAGAACACCACACUCAUUACACUCGUGACCAAGGCCAACAUUUGAAACUAAAUCCCUGUCCCCAGGUUCGGGGGUGGGACUGGAUUUUGUCCUAAGCCUUGUGCAUUUCACCUGUCUGCUAGCCUAGCUUAUUGCAGGCAAAGUGAAUUUCAUCCUCUCUGUCUUCUUCUUUUUUUACUGAAUUAUUUUUUUCCUUUUUGCUGUGAAAAAGAGAGUCCAGAAAAGGAGCCCAGUUGACUGGCUUUGGCUUUCUCCUCUCCCCACUUUUUGCAAAAACACAGAUUAUUCCUCCAGAAUGACAGGAAUGCUCUGAAAUCACCACCCCAGCUCAAAACCAGAGCCACAUUGGCUAUGAGGCCUUAGAAGACUCCACGGUUUCCAUCUGAAGGAAUCUGUGUGCCUAUUUCCUGUAGGUCCAAUGGGCCUGAGCUCUUCCUCGGGUUGACUGACCUUCUGAAAACUCACAGCCAUGCCCAGUCAAAGGUGCAGCAUCUCAGCUGGUUGGACAAAACCCAUAAACAUACGCAGGCUAGGCACAUCCAGCAAAUAUCCUCAGCUGAUGACCCAGGCUUGCCCAGUCUAUUUAAUGUUCCCAAGGAACGCGCUGCCAGGACAUGCUUCCCUUAUGGCAGCCAUGGAAGAGUGAAGAACAAUGGCCCUAUCUGUGGCUCCCACAUCACCUUUGCAAAGGAGAAGCUGGUGACAACUGAAUGCUGGGAGGCAAAAGUAACUCACAAAGUUGAGCUCAGAGCUAAUUUGCAGCAGAAGGUAAAGAUUAUGCAGCAUCUGACCCAAGAGAGAAUAGGCAAAGCUGGCUCUACCAGUCCCAAGAAAACUUCUCUGAUGUGCGGAGCUGCAGACUGACCUGCUUGCUGCAGUGUGUGUCCACCCCCAGACUACCCUGUUAUCAAACCAACGUUUCACAAUUCUCUAGGCUUUUUCCUCCUGUGGUUGUGACAAAGCGAACUCUGGCAUGCGUCAGCCAGGAAAAGCACCCACAAGCCACGCUGUCCUUACUAGGGGAACUUCUUGGGUCUCUCCAUUCACACCAGGACCAGGAAAAAAUGAGUCUGGUGCCUUCCCAAAGGCCUCGUCUACACUAGAAAAGGUUUGCCAGUAGAGCUAUCCAUAC
This 1734-nucleotide long non-coding RNA is filed under the name Chrysemys picta bellii (western painted turtle). RNAcentral's name for it is "lncRNA (ENSCPBG00000010148.1)". The record is from RNAcentral. Lineage: Eukaryota; Metazoa; Chordata; Testudines; Emydidae.